Molecule: long non-coding RNA, 315 nt
Organism: Periophthalmus magnuspinnatus
Lineage: Eukaryota; Metazoa; Chordata; Actinopteri; Gobiiformes; Gobiidae
Exons: 3
Source: RefSeq, a predicted model, not a curated record
AGUGUUUUAGUAAAGAAACAGAAAUGCCUUUAUCUGAUGCAGCAUGUGUAGGGGAAGAUUCAAUCUCUAAAUGUCAUACACGGAUACAUUGUUGAGUACCUGGUCAUGAAGAGUGACUGUUUGGAAUAAGGAUGAUCUGAGAUGCCUUCAGUCAGUUGGAGUAGUCAAGUCUUACUCCUCUUUUUCUACAUAUAUUGGAUUUUGCUUCCCUCCUUUUUCUGCAUCAAGUUUGACAGUCUUGGAUCUCUGACUGUUGUGCCACCUGUUCCCUUCCUUAUGGGCUCCAACUUGACGCUGUACUGUCACAUCAACAAA